AUUCCGGUUGAUCCUGCCGGAGGCCAUUGCUAUCGGGGUCCGAUUUAGCCAUGCUAGUCGCACGAGCUUAUACUCGUGGCGAAUAGCUCCNNNNNNNNNNNNNNNNNNNNNNNNNNNNNNNNNNNNNNNNNNNNNNNUAUCUGAGACAAGAUACCGGGCCCUACGGGGCGCAGCAGGCGCGAAACCUUUACACUGCACGCCAGUGCGAUAAGGGGACCCCGAGUGCGAGGGCAUAUAGCCCUCGCUUUUGCACACCGUACGGUGGUGCGCGAACAAGGACUGGGCAAGACCGGUGCCAGCCGCCGCGGUAAUACCGGCAGUCCGAGUGAUGGCCGCUAUUAUUGGGCCUAAAGCGUCCGUAGCCGGCCGGGCAAGUUCGUCGGGAAAUCCACCCGCUCAACGGGUGGGCGUCCGGCGAAAACUGCCUGGCUUGGGACCGGAAGACCCGAGGGGUACGUCCAGGGUAGGAGUGAAAUCCUAUAAUCCUGGACGGACCGCCGGUGGCGAAAGCGCCUCGGGAAAACGGAUCCGACGGUGAGGGACGAAAGCUUGGGUCACGAACCGGAUUAGAUACCCGGGUAGUCCAAGCCGUAAACGAUGCUCGCUAGGUGUGCCACAGGCCACGAGCCUGUGCUGUGCCGCAGGGAAGCCCAGAAGCGAGCCGCCUGGGAAGUACGUCUGCAAGGAUGAAACUUAAAGGAAUUGGCGGGGGAGCACUACAACCGGAGGAGCCUGCGGUUUAAUUGGACUCAACGCCGGACAUCUCACCAGCUCCGACAGCAGGAGUGACGGUCAGUGUGAUGAGCUUACCAAACCUGCUGAGAGGAGGUGCAUGGCCGCCGUCAGCUCGUACCGUGAGGCGUCCUGUUAAGUCAGGCAACGAGCGAGACCCGCACUCUUAAUUGCCAGCAUGGCCCUCGUGGCUGAUGGGUACAUUAGGAGGACUGCCGCUGCCAAAGCGGAGGAAGGAACGGGCAACGGUAGGUCAGUAUGCCCCGAAUGAGCUGGGCGACACGCGGGCUACAAUGGCCGAGACAAUGGGACGCAACGCCGAAAGGCGACGCUAAUCUCCGAAACUCGGUCGUAGUUCGGAUCGAGGGCUGAAACCCGCCCUCAUGAAGCUGGAUUCGGUAGUAAUCGCGCCUCAGAAAGGCGCGGUGAAUACGUCCCUGCUCCUUGCACACACCGCCCGUCAAAGCACCCGAGUGAGGUCCGGAUGAGGCCAGGACUCCUGGUCGAAUCUGGGCUUCGCAAGGGGGCUUAAGUCGUAACAAGGUAGCCGUAGGGGAAUCUGCGGCUGGAUCACCUCCA
RNAcentral lists this ribosomal RNA (1311 nucleotides) under Halobacteriales archaeon QS_9_68_17. Its description in RNAcentral is "16S ribosomal RNA". It matches the Rfam family "Archaeal small subunit ribosomal RNA". The record is from RNAcentral. Lineage: Archaea; Methanobacteriati; Methanobacteriota; Halobacteria; Halobacteriales.